Molecule: ribosomal RNA, 211 nt
Filed under: uncultured Variovorax sp.
Lineage: Bacteria; Pseudomonadati; Pseudomonadota; Betaproteobacteria; Burkholderiales; Comamonadaceae
Description: partial 16S ribosomal RNA
Rfam family: Bacterial small subunit ribosomal RNA
Source: RNAcentral
AGUAACGCAGCGAAAGCUGUGCUAAUACCGCAUACGAUCUACGGAUGAAAGCAGGGAUCGCAAGACCUUGCGCGAAUGGAGCGGCCGAUGGCAGAUUAGGUAGUUGGUGAGGUAAAGGCUCACCAAGCCUUCGAUCUGUAGCUGGUCUGAGAGGACGACCAGCCACACUGGGACUGAGACACGGCCCAGACUCCUACGGGAGGCAGCAGGC